This is a non-coding RNA of Phascolarctos cinereus (koala), 3570 nucleotides long. NCBI's taxonomy places the organism in Eukaryota, Metazoa, Chordata, Mammalia, Diprotodontia, Phascolarctidae. The record is from RefSeq and is a predicted model, not a curated record.
CCUCCCCUUCCUCCACCCCUCCCCCCACCCCGGGGUCUCCCCGCCUCCCUCCGCGCCAUGUCUCGGGGUGGCUGCUGCCCACACCUGCUGUGGGACGUGAGGAAGCGGUCCUUGGGGCUGGAGGACCCGUCCCGCCUGCGGAGCCGCUACCUGGGAAGAAGAGAAUUCAUCCAAAGAUUAAAACUUGAAGCAACACUGAAUGUGCAUGAUGGCUGUGUGAAUACAAUCUGUUGGAAUGACACUGGAGAAUAUAUUUUAUCUGGUUCAGAUGACACUAAUCUAGUAAUCAGUAAUCCCUACAGCCGAAAAGUCUUGACAACAAUUCGCUCAGGACACAGGGCAAAUAUAUUUAGUGCAAAAUUCUUACCCUGCACCAACGACAAACAGAUUGUAUCCUGUUCUGGAGAUGGAGUCAUUUUUUAUACUAAUGUCGAUCAAGAUGCAGAGACUAACAGACAAUGCCAAUUCACGUGCCAUUAUGGAACUACCUAUGAGAUUAUGACAGUACCAAAUGAUCCUUAUACUUUCCUUUCUUGUGGUGAAGAUGGGACUGUUAGGUGGUUUGAUACCCGCAUCAAGACGAGUUGUACAAAAGAAGAUUGCAAAGAUGAUAUCUUAAUUAACUGCCGGCGUGCUGCUACUUCUGUAGCCAUUUGUCCCCCAAUACCAUAUUACCUUGCUGUUGGCUGUUCUGAUAGCUCUGUACGAAUAUAUGAUCGGCGAAUGCUUGGCACAAGAGCCACAGGGAAUUAUGCAGGUCGUGGGACUACAGGAAUGGUGGCUCGUUUUGUUCCUCCUCAUCUUAAUAACAAAUCUUGUCGAGUUACGUCUCUGUGUUAUAGUGAAGAUGGUCAGGAAAUUCUGGUUAGUUAUUCCUCAGAUUACAUCUAUCUGUUUGACCCUAAAGAUGACACAGCACGAGAACUUAAAACCCCUUCUUCCGAGGAGAGGAGAGAAGAGUUACGACAGCCUCCAGUUAAACGUUUGAGACUUCGUGGUGACUGGUCAGAUACUGGACCGAGAGCUCGGCCUGAGAGUGAGCGAGAGCGAGAUGGAGAGCAAAGCCCUAAUGUAUCAUUGAUGCAGAGGAUGUCUGAUAUGUUAUCACGAUGGUUUGAAGAAGCUAGCGAAGUUGCUCAGAGCAACAGAGGACGGGGACGAUCUCGCUCUAGAGGAGGGACAAAUCAGUCAGAUGUUUCUACUGUUCCUACUGGCCAAUCAAGUGCUGAAUUAGAAAUGGGUGAGACUGCAAUGGAAGUGGACGCUCCUGCAGAACAGUUUCUUCAGUCAUCUUCAUCUUCUACUGUGUCAGCUCAGGCGCCUUCAACAUCAUCUUCCACAGAAAGCCCUCGUUCGACAUCUUUGCUUUCCUCUCCAGACACUGAACAGAGAUUAGCCUUAGAAGCUUCCGGGCACCAUACACAUCAUCAAUCUGAAUUUUUAAGGGGGCCUGAGAUAGCUCUGCUUCGUAAGGGCCUGCAACAACUGCGGCUUAAGAGAGCUGAGCAGCAGAGGCAACAAGAGCUAGCUGAGGCCGCAGCACGACAGCCUUCCACUUCCGAGCAGGCCUCCCCUGAGGGCUCCUCCCAGGGCCCUCAUCCUUCAGGUGAUUCUCCUUCUUCUGUGGUUAACAAACAGCUCGGAUCCAUGUCCCUUGAUGAGCAACAGGAUAACAGUAGUGAAAAGCUGAGCCCAAGACCAGGGGCAGGUGAGCCAGUUUUAAGUUUACACUACAGCACAGAAGGAACAACUACAAGCACAAUAAAACUGGACUUCACGGACGAGUGGAGCAGCACCGCCUCAAGUUCUAGAGGAAGUGGGAGCCACAGCAAACCUGAGGAGCAGGACGCAUCUCGGGGCCUCUCAAGCCCCUCACAGCCACAGCCACAGCUGCAGUCUCCAGGCGGGGAAGCCACAGCUCCUGAAGAGUCAUCAGAGGAGACCACAAAGACUCAGGAGUGCAGAUACUCAGAAGAAACAGUUCAGAAUCCCACAGAUACAGAUACAGUCUCUGAGCCUCUGGGAUGCCACUCAGAAGAAAAGAAUGACGCCAACCUUGACAACUCUUGCAAAGUUCCAGAAGAAUCUUCUCCAGAGGAAAAAUGUCAGGAGCAGGACCCUUCAGACCAGACCAGCCUGGAGGGAACUGCCCAUGCAGAGGGCACACAUGAUGAGCCUCAAGCCCAGACCGAACCCACAGGGCCACUUAUUCAUGAAGAAACAUUGACUCGAGGCUCCACUUUCCAAGAAACUGAUGACAGUGACGAUGAACCGGUCCUAAUCCCAGGUGCAAGAUAUCGAACAGGACCAGGGCAUAGAUUUAAUGUCAGAGGAACAGCAAUAGGUGAUAGAAUAAUGAGACGAUCUGCCGUUGCCCGAAUUCAAGAACUCUUCAGGCGGAGAAAAGAGAGGAAAGAGAUGGAAGAGUUGGACACUCUGAACAUUAGGAGGCCCCUAGUAAAGAUGGUUUAUAAGGGUCAUCGCAACUCCAGGACAAUGAUAAAAGAAGCCAACUUCUGGGGCACUAAUUUUGUAAUGAGUGGCUCCGAUUGUGGCCACAUCUUCAUUUGGGAUCGCCAUACUGCUGAGCACUUGAUGCUUUUGGAAGCUGAUAAUCAUGUUGUGAACUGCCUACAGCCACAUCCAUUCGAUCCAAUUUUAGCUUCAUCUGGCAUAGAUUAUGACAUAAAGAUUUGGUCACCCCUUGAAGAGUCCAAGAUUUUCAACCGAAAACUUGCUGAUGAAGUUAUAACUCGGAAUGAAUUAAUGCUGGAGGAGACUAGAAACACUAUUACUGUCCCAGCUUCUUUCAUGUUACGCAUGCUGGCCUCCUUGAAUCAUAUCCGAGCUGCACUGAAUAUUCCUCAAAUGAGUUGUAAAUUCUACCAGAAUAAACUGUCCAGCACCGUAUCAUUCACCAGCACCUGCUUUGUGCCAAACACUGUGCUAAGUUCUGAGAUAAGAAGAAAAGCAAAGACAGUCCCUGCCCUGAAGGAACUCACAGUACAGCAUGCAAAUCUGUGACUGUGUACAAACAGGAAACCUACAAUAUUAAUUGGAGGGGCUCUGAAGUGCGAUUGAAAAGAGAAAAUGUGUAAGGGCCUUCUUUUCUCAAAGAUACAGAAAGCUGAGUCAAAUUUAUAUGAAUGUGGCCAAGAAUGGAAGAUAAAGUAGGAAAGCAUUUCCGUUAUUUCUGCUUAGCCUUUGAACAUAUAUGGUACCACAUUUGGAUCUGGGAGGCCCUGAAGAAAACCUGACCUCCAGGACUGUAGAGCCAAAAAGGACAAAGUUGUGAGCCCCACCAUUGACUUGCACGGCCACUGGAUGAAUCACCAAUGUUCUACAUUUCAGUUCUCCCACAGGAAAAAGUGGGGGAGCCCACAGGAGAGAUCCUUGCUAUUUACCAUACUGUACAUCCAAAGACAUCUCUGCCCACUCAGAUCACCUGUGCAGGUGCUAAAUGCCUGCCUUAAGAAGGGUAAUCUUUUGGCAGGCAUGUGCUGACCUGCUUAAAGAUCUCACUGGAAUAUUAAAAUGAGUAAUAAAUGUGUUGACUACUUUGGGCGUGAA